Molecule: ribosomal RNA, 481 nt
Filed under: uncultured bacterium
Lineage: Bacteria
Description: partial 16S ribosomal RNA
Rfam family: Bacterial small subunit ribosomal RNA
Source: RNAcentral
ACGAACGCUGGCGGCGCGCCUAACACAUGCAAGUCGAACGAGCGAGAGAGAGCUUGCUUUCUCGAGCGAGUGGCGAACGGGUGAGUAACGCGUGAGGAACCUGCCUCAAAGAGGAGGACAACAGUUGGAAACGACUGCUAAUACCGAAUAAGCCCACGACCCGGCAUCGGGUCGAGGGAAAAGGAGCAAUCCGCUUUGAGAUGGCCUCGCGUCCGAUUAGCUAGUUGGUGAGGUAACGGCCCACCAAGGCGACGAUCGGUAGCCGGACUGAGAGGUUGAACGGCCACAUUGGGACUGAGACACGGCCCAGACUCCUACGGGAGGCAGCAGUGGGGAAUAUUGCACAAUGGGGGAAACCCUGAUGCAGCGACGCCGCGUGGAGGAAGAAGGUCUUCGGAUUGUAAACUCCUGUUGUUGAGGAAGAUAAUGACGGUACUCAACAAGGAAGUGACGGCUAACUACGUGCCAGCCGCCGCCGUAA